GGAUGUGAGGGCGAUCUGGCUGCGACAUCUGUCACCCCAUUGAUCGCCAGGGUUGAUUCGGCUGAUCUGGCUGGCUAGGCGGGUGUCCCCUUCCUCCCUCACCGCUCCAUGUGCGUCCCUCCCGAAGCUGCGCGCUCGGUCGAAGAGGACGACCUUCCCCGAUAGAGGAGGACCGUUCUUCGGUCAAAGGUAUACGAGUAGCUGCGCUCCCCUGCUAGAACCUCCAAACAAGCUCUCAAGGUCCAUUUGUAGGAGAACGUAGGGUAGUCAAGCUUCCAAGACUCCAGACACAUCCAAAUGAGGCGCUGCACGUGGCAGUCUGCCUUUCUUU
This 331-nucleotide small nuclear RNA is filed under the name Panthera pardus (leopard). RNAcentral's name for it is "7SK RNA (ENSPPRG00000017182.1)". It matches the Rfam family "7SK RNA". Rfam says of the family: 7SK was discovered as an abundant small nuclear RNA in the mid-70s but a possible function has only recently been suggested. Two independent studies have found that 7SK RNA binds the CDK9/cyclin T complex (known as elongation factor P-TEFb). P-TEFb activates transcription by phosphorylating the C-terminal domain of RNA polymerase II. Lineage: Eukaryota; Metazoa; Chordata; Mammalia; Carnivora; Felidae. The record is from RNAcentral.